GAAUAAAUAGAAGGUCAUAUUGACUUGACGAGACAGGCAUUGUGGGCAUAGAAGCUUCAAGAUGACACCACUGUACUCAACAAUAUGCUGAGAGAAUAGUUUUCCAUAGAUACUGCAUGAAUAAGAAAUACCUUCUUGAUGAAAUGCUUACUUUUCAGCAUGCCAGAUUCUGUUUCAACAGAUGAAAAGCCAAAAGAUACUCGAUGUCAUGCAUUCAUUGCAUAGAUGACAAGAGAUUUCAAUACCUGGGAUGGGACGGGG
RNAcentral lists this long non-coding RNA (261 nucleotides) under Phascolarctos cinereus (koala). RNAcentral's name for it is "lncRNA (ENSPCIG00000022255.2)". Lineage: Eukaryota; Metazoa; Chordata; Mammalia; Diprotodontia; Phascolarctidae. The record is from RNAcentral.